Molecule: RNase P RNA, 200 nt
Filed under: Rhodospirillales bacterium
Lineage: Bacteria; Pseudomonadati; Pseudomonadota; Alphaproteobacteria; Rhodospirillales
Description: partial RNase P RNA component class A
Rfam family: Bacterial RNase P class A
About the family: Ribonuclease P (RNase P) is a ubiquitous endoribonuclease, found in archaea, bacteria and eukarya as well as chloroplasts and mitochondria. Its best characterised activity is the generation of mature 5'-ends of tRNAs by cleaving the 5'-leader elements of precursor-tRNAs. Cellular RNase Ps are ribonucleoproteins.
Source: RNAcentral
UGGCAGGGUAAACCCCACCGGGAGCAAGACCAAAUAGGGGCGGCGGGUCGGACUGGUUCCGACAGGCGUGUUUUCGCGUCGUCGCCCGGGUAGGUCGCGUGAGGCGUUCGGUAACGGGCGUCCCAGAUGAAUGGUCAUCUAUCCUCACUCAUUUAUUUGGGAGAGGUGGACAAAACCCGGCUUACAGACCGUCUGGCAUU